This 25-nucleotide non-coding RNA is filed under the name Rattus norvegicus (Norway rat). Lineage: Eukaryota; Metazoa; Chordata; Mammalia; Rodentia; Muridae. The record is from RNAcentral.
UGAGCCAAAUUGCUCGUGGGUCCAA